Alosa alosa (allis shad) is the source of this 1357-nucleotide long non-coding RNA. RefSeq lists it as uncharacterized. NCBI's taxonomy places the organism in Eukaryota, Metazoa, Chordata, Actinopteri, Clupeiformes, Clupeidae. The transcript has 3 exons. The record is from RefSeq and is a predicted model, not a curated record.
UGGAUUUGAAUAAUCUAUCAUGUGAUUUCAUGGUGAUUUCAUGAGCAGAAACAAUAAAGAUGGAAGGAUGUGGGUGUGACACAAUGUGUGUCUAGUGUGAGGUGAAUUCUCUUUGCUUCUAUACUCCUCAAGCUGGAGCAGGCUGGUCAAAUACACAGCAACACAACCAGACUCAGCUGUGGAUCACUGGCAUCACACACAUCACACAACCAGAAACCAGCAUUUAAAGGUAUACAAAAAGACAUUUCACUGCGUUUUAUCUUUGAGUAGCUGGACUGUCAACAAUGUUGUUUAAAUUUAAUUGUGUGAGUGUUUUUCACCAAGAACUCCGCUAGCAGAAUCACAUUUGUUGUGCAGGGUUUUGUUAUGGUAUCUUUUCAGCUCCAGUGCUGUAACGCCGACCAUCCUGCAUCCUGCCCAAAAUGGAGAAGCUGGCGGGGGCUCAUCUAGAGAGGCUCAUCUCAGGCCAUCAGCGAGGACAAGCUGGGCAAAUGGCAGCACCAAGUGUGGCCCUGUUCAGAAGAGUGCUGCCAUUUGCCCAGCUUGUCCUCGCUGAUGGCCUGAGGUGAGGCUGAUGUGAGAGGACAUUACGAGAGGGACCUGACCGGAGCUCCAAGAGGACAGGGCACAGAGAGCACGCAACCCUUUAGGACAGCCAAAUCGCCAACUGCGCUUGCACUGUGUGACCAGCAGCUCCAUCAAACCUGACAUGCGAAUGUGACUGACAAGGGCUUUGAGGCUUUUCUCCGAAUUGCAAUUCUCCUGAUGUAUGACCUCAAGCUAGAGGGCACUGCAGCGGAGGCCACAGGUGGAGUCUCCAUGGGGCAGCAUGCUGAUGCCAUGAGGUCCACCUGUACUCCGCGUUCUGGGCUCUGCCUUCUCUACACAGCGUUCUGGGCUCGCCUCCACGGCAGAACCUCAGCCGAACUCUGCCUGGCAAGGCAACCCCACCCCCACUGGGCCUGAGCCAGGCUGAAUGGGUGGACACACCGAGAUUUCAAAUGACUAUCAGACUGAAUAUGGCAUGCUGACGUUAAAGCAAUAAACAGACCAUUCUAAACUGCCCAGUCACAGAUGUACUGUACCUGUAUGUUUCUAAAAUCUGUCAUUUUAAACAAUUCGUUUCAAAGAGAGGUAGAUGCAUGAAUGGAACAUGAAUGGAACAUGUUUGAAAGGGGGUACUUCUGUUGCUAUGAUGAUGUUUCUAUUUGCUCUCGCUGCAACCCUGUUGCCUGUCAGCUCUGCUCCGUCAGGCAGUGAUAACACUGCUUGCACACAUGAUACACACACACACACACACACACAUAACAGUUUAUUUAGUUUGGUGUGUGUGUGUGUUGCUUACUAUUUCUUAGUU